Molecule: ribosomal RNA, 431 nt
Filed under: uncultured bacterium
Lineage: Bacteria
Description: bacterial SSU rRNA
Rfam family: Bacterial small subunit ribosomal RNA
Source: RNAcentral
GUGGGGAAUAUUGCGCAAUGGGCGAAAGCCUGACGCAGCAACGCCGCGUGAGUGAUGAAGGUCCUCGGAUCGUAAAGCUCUGUCGACAGGAAAGAUGGGCUCGUCGGCUAACAUCCGCCGAGCUUGACGGUACCUGUAAAGGAAGCACCGGCUAACUCUGUGCCAGCAGCCGCGGUAAUACAGAGGGUGCAAGCGUUGUUCGGAAUUAUUGGGCGUAAAGGGUGCGUAGGCGGCCAAGAAAGUCAACUGUGAAAGCCCAGGGCUCAACCCUGGAAGUGCAGCUGAAACUUCUUGGCUAGAAUGUCGGAGAGGGUGGUGGAAUUCCCAGUGUAGAGGUGAAAUUCGUAGAUAUUGGGAGGAACACCGGUGGCGAAGGCGACCGCCUGGACGAACAUUGACGCUGAGGCACGAAAGCGUGGGUAGCAAACAGG